This is a long non-coding RNA of Glycine soja, 2801 nucleotides long. RefSeq lists it as uncharacterized. NCBI's taxonomy places the organism in Eukaryota, Viridiplantae, Streptophyta, Magnoliopsida, Fabales, Fabaceae. The record is from RefSeq and is a predicted model, not a curated record. The transcript is spliced from 5 exons.
UUUUGCCCACUCUCCUCCGCUUCCAACCAGCCCUUCCACAACCACCUUAGCCCUUCUAAAUAACGGUUUUAGACGCUUAACCAUUGAUUCUUCCCCGCUGGCGAAGAUAGCUAGGGUUUCGUUCUUUGCGCCACAAUUGUCCUUGUAUAUGGAGGCGUUGAUGGAGUGGCAACCUUUGAUGCGGCGGCACCUAAGAUUUUGGCAGUGAGGGAGGGCUUCGAGGUUUUCACGUCGAUGAGGACACCACCGAGGCGAACGACAAAGAGGGUGCCGGAGAAGGGGUGGAGGAGGACGAAGAGGAAGAUGACGUCAGAGUGGGCGGCGAUGACAUGGGUGUUGAGAAGUGGGCUCCGAGGAGUGGUUGGGCCUUGGAAAAGGGGCGAUUGAAGAGGGAAUUACUUUGUGCACCCAACUUUUAUCUUAUACAUCCAACAUUUUUUCAUUUUUUCCAAAAUUACCCUGGAAAACUUACAGAUUCGUAAUCCAUAAACUUACGAAUUCGUAAUCUGCAAGAUUACGAAUUGGCAAUUCGUAUGCUCAUACGGAUUAAAAUUACAUUUGCAGUAAAUAUACAUUAGAAAGUAAUGCACCAAAAUUAUUUUUCAUAAAAUUUAUUAUGUAAAUUUACAUGUGCAUUAAAUAUAAUUAGAAAUUUUAAUGUUAUAUAUAGCGACAUUAAUUAUUUUAGGACAUAAUUGGCCUAUUAGCUCAGUUUGUUAGAGUAUCUUGUUAAUAACCUAAAAGUCACAGGUUUGAAUCCUGCAUGGAAAGCAUUUUUUAAAAAAAUUAUAAAAAAAAAAUUGUAAUUCGUACGUACAUACGGAAUCUCCCUUCGUCUCAUCUUCUUCCUUCGUUUUCUUGAUUCCUUUUCCUUGGUUUGUGCCCGCCACCGUUGUUGGCUGCUUCCAUUGCCGGCUUUGAGGACGUCUCCACCGCCAUCAUGUCAUUUGUGCCAUCAAGAUUAUGGUUAGAACUAGAGGUUUAGGUCGUGUUUUAGAUAGAGUUAUAGGAAAAGCCUUGGGGAGAGAAGAUAAUCAUGAUUUUGAUAAAGUUUUCCAGCGGCGAAGGCCCACAGCAUCUGCACAUAGGCAAUGUGAAGCUAUCGCUAUUGCUGAGGAUGCUCCUCACGUGGCUGACGCAGCUGAAGAGGUCUUCCAACAACUUGAAGAAGUAGUUGUUGAUGCCCAAGGUUUUCCAGGCAGGCUACACAACACAUUAGUUCUGACUGUCUAUGCUGAUCAUGUUGCAAUCAUUGUUUGAAAUGGAGAGGAACGUCUUGAAUUGAAGUUAUCCUCCCAUGGAAGGAAGGUUCAGAAAUUCGGGAGGCCUACUGCUGAAAUUGAAGGGUUAGUAGCUGCCACAGGAUUAAGUCCUUUAAUUGCAUGUUCAUUGGACACUAGCGAUCGAGGACUUAUAUCGGCUUUUGUGGAGAGGUGACAUAAGGAAACUAGCAGUAGGAGAGGUCACCAUCACUCUCGAUGAAGUGGCCUCUUUACUUCAUUUGCCCAUCAUAGGCACAUUCCCCAGCUUCGAGACUCUUCAUGUCGACAAAGCAGUGUUGAUGUUAGUGGAGUUACUUGAAGUCAGUGGAGAUGAAGCCAGAGCUAAGAUAGUACAGUGUCAUGGGGCAUAUAUACGAAUAUCAUGGCUACGAGAGAUUUAUCAUAGCAAAUGUGAGGCCGGACACUGAACUAUAGCAGCUCAAGUUUAUUUGCUGCAUUUGCUAGGUUGCAUUCUUUUUGCUAACAAGAGUGCAACACACGUGCAUGUAGUGUUCUUGGACGCCUUUUAAGACCUAAUUCAGAAUGGAAGCUACGCAUGGGGAGUUGCAACCCUAGUGCAUAUGUAUGAUAAUUUGAAUGAUGCUUGUAAAAGUGGCAGCAGACAACUUGCUAGAUAUAUCACACUAUUAUAGACUACGAUGAAAGGUCACCACGUGCCUAUCGUUGGACCUCUACGAAGGCAUUACCAACGUCGACAUAUUGCAAGCAUCUAGAUCGAUUGAUAACUACUGAUGUAUGUUGGAUGCCUUACGGUGACAACCAUGCAGUUAGAGACUUCGAUAUGAUUUCGUGUUUUUCUAUACAUAUUCGAUGGGGUCCCGUUGUUGUUAUACACCGACCAGAGAGGGUUGUACGGUAGUUUGGGUAUGUUCAGAAGAUUCCUCCAUAUUCUCCGGGUUCAAGAUUAUGCUUGGAAGAUAUUGACGACAGAUGGAUGCAUUUCUCUUACUACCUUGCACCAAUGGGAAAUAUUUAUGUUGUGCCUGGACAAUGUGCACCAGACUACAUGGACUGGUUCUACAUGAUUUCUCAUCCAUUCUUGAGGCUGACACAACCCGAGGAUCCACCCAGACAUCCACCUGUCGUGCAAGAUGAGACAUAUGUCUAACCAGAUAUGCCUCAGUACCCAAUGACAAUAGUAGCUAUAGAGGAAGCACCCGCGCAUGCACCUUCUGAUGUGGAGCAACCUAGACAUGCAGUGGAGGCUUGUCAAGCAAUAGCUGAAAGAUUGGAGCGGUUGCUCAAUCCAAGGAUAAUGACUGAAGGCACAAAAACAUACGAUGUCAUGCAAGACUACCUAAAGAUCGCUAGAGGUGUCACUGUGGAUUGCAAUGCAUAUGUGUGGUCGUGACGAAAGCAGCGCAAAGAUCAUGCAUGAAGACAUUUAAAAUUUUUUAGGAAAAUUUAUAGACUAUGUUUAUUAGUUUAUUUUAUUUGACAGCAUUUCUCUUUUACAAUUUUUAUUUGAAUUUUUUUAUAUUACUAUUGACAAACGUAAAUUAUUUAACAACCUCUUAU